GACGAACGCUGGCGGCGUGCUUAACACAUGCAAGUCGAACGGAAAGGCCCUGCUUUUGUGGGGUGCUCGAGUGGCGAACGGGUGAGUAACACGUGAGUAACCUGCCCUUGACUUUGGGAUAACUUCAGGAAACUGGGGCUAAUACCGGAUAGGAGCUCCUGCUGCAUGGUGGGGGAUGGAAAGUUGCGGCGGUUGGGGAUGGACUCGCGGCUUAUCCGCUUGUUGGUGGGGUAGUGUCUUAACAAGGCUUGGACGGUAGCCGGCCUUAGAGGGCGACCGGGCACAUUGGGACUGAGAUACGGACCAGACUCCUACGGGAGGCAGCAGUGGGGAAUAUUGCACAAUGGGCGGAAGCCAGAUGCAGCAACGCCGCGUGCGGGAUGACGUCCUUCGGGUUGUAAACCGCUUUCGCCGGUGACGAAGCGUGAGUGACGGUAAUGGGUAAAGAAGCACCGGCUAACUACGUG
This 467-nucleotide ribosomal RNA is filed under the name uncultured bacterium. RNAcentral's name for it is "partial 16S ribosomal RNA". It matches the Rfam family "Bacterial small subunit ribosomal RNA", at positions 28 to 507 of the family's 1533-position model. The record is from RNAcentral.